RNAcentral lists this ribosomal RNA (463 nucleotides) under uncultured bacterium. RNAcentral describes it as "partial 16S ribosomal RNA". It matches the Rfam family "Bacterial small subunit ribosomal RNA", at positions 29 to 507 of the family's 1533-position model. The record is from RNAcentral.
ACGAACGCUGGCGGCGUGCUUAACACAUGCAAGUCGAACGGAAAGGCCCCUUUGGGGGUACUCGAGUGGCGAACGGGUGAGUAACACGUGAGUAACCUGCCCUUGACUUCGGGAUAACUUCAGGAAACUGGGGCUAAUACCGGAUAGGAAUCCUUGCUGCAUGGUGGGGGUUGGAAAGCUUCGGCGGUUUUGGAUGGACUCGCGGCUUAUCAGCUUGUUGGUGGGGUAGUGGCUUACCAAGGCUUUGACGGGCAGCCGGCCUGAGAGGGCGACCGGCCACAUUGGGACUGAGAUACGGCCCAGACUCCUACGGGAGGCAGCAGUGGGGAAUAUUGCACAAUGGGCGGAAGCCUGAUGCAGCAACGCCGCGUGCGGGAUGACGGCCUUCGGGUUGUAAACCGCUUUCAGCAGGGGCGAAGCUUUUGUGACGGUACCUGCAGAAGAAGCACCGGCUAACUACGUG